This 485-nucleotide ribosomal RNA is filed under the name uncultured bacterium. RNAcentral's name for it is "partial 16S ribosomal RNA". It matches the Rfam family "Bacterial small subunit ribosomal RNA", at positions 29 to 506 of the family's 1533-position model. The record is from RNAcentral.
AUUGAACGCUGGCGGCAUGCUUUACACAUGCAAGUCGAGCGGCAGCGCGGGGGCAACCCUGGCGGCGAGCGGCGAACGGGUGAGUAAUGCAUCGGAACGUAUCCUCGAGUGGGGGAUAACCCAGCGAAAGUUGGGCUAAUACCGCAUGAGCUCUGAGGAGGAAAGCGGGGGACCUGCGAGGGCCUCGCGCUGGAGGAGCGGCCGAUGUCCGAUUAGCUAGUUGGUGGGGUAAAGGCUUACCAAGGCGACGAUGGGUAGCUGGUCUGAGAGGAUGAUCAGCCACACUGGGACUGAGACACGGCCCAGACUCCUACGGGAGGCAGCAGUGGGGAAUUUUGGACAAUGGGGGGAACCCUGAUCCAGCCACGCCGCGUGAGUGAAGAAGGCCUUCGGGUUGUAAAGCUCUUUCGGACGGAACGAAAUGGGCGGGACUAAUACUACUGUCUGAUGAGGGUACCGUAAGAAGAAGCACGGGCUAAUACCGU